RNAcentral lists this ribosomal RNA (253 nucleotides) under uncultured bacterium. Its description in RNAcentral is "partial 16S ribosomal RNA". It matches the Rfam family "Bacterial small subunit ribosomal RNA", at positions 524 to 776 of the family's 1533-position model. The record is from RNAcentral.
UACGUAGGCAGCGAGCGUUGUUCGGAGUUACUGGGCGUAAAGGGUGUGUAGGCGGUUUUUUAAGCCAGACGUGAAAUCCCCGGGCUUAACCUGGGAAUGGCGUUUGGGACUGGGAGUCUGGAGUGCGGCAGAGGAGACUGGAAUUCCUGGUGUAGCAGUGAAAUGCGUAGAUAUCAGGAGGAACACCGAUGGCGAAGGCAGGUCUCUGGGCUGACACUGACGCUCAUGCACGAAAGCGUGGGGAGCAAACAGG